UACAGAGGGUGCUAGCGUUGUUCGGAAUCAUUGGGCGUAAAGGGCGUGUAGGCGGUUUGUUAAGUCAUGUGUGAAAUCCCUCGGCUCAACCGGGGAACGACGCAUGAAACUGGCAAGCUAGAGUACCAAAGAGGGGGGUGGAAUUCCCGGUGUAGAGGUGAAAUUCGUAGAUAUUGGGAAGAACACCGGUGGCGAAGGCGGCCAUCUGGACCGGCACUGACGCUGAGGCGCGAAAGCGUGGGGAGCAAACAGG
Molecule: ribosomal RNA, 253 nt
Filed under: uncultured bacterium
Lineage: Bacteria
Description: partial 16S ribosomal RNA
Rfam family: Bacterial small subunit ribosomal RNA
Source: RNAcentral